GAUGAACGCUGGCUACAGGCUUAACACAUGCAAGUCGAGGGGAAACGACGGGGAAGCUUGCUUCCCCGGGCGUCGACCGGCGCACGGGUGAGUAACGCGUAUCCAACCUGCCUCUGACUGAGGGAUAACCCGUCGAAAGUCGGCCUAAUACCUCAUGGCAUCGUCUGCGGGCAUCCAACGACGAUUAAAGAUUUCAUCGG
RNAcentral lists this ribosomal RNA (200 nucleotides) under uncultured bacterium. RNAcentral describes it as "partial 16S ribosomal RNA". It matches the Rfam family "Bacterial small subunit ribosomal RNA", at positions 28 to 218 of the family's 1533-position model. The record is from RNAcentral.